Molecule: ribosomal RNA, 733 nt
Filed under: uncultured bacterium SE-23
Lineage: Bacteria
Description: bacterial SSU rRNA
Rfam family: Bacterial small subunit ribosomal RNA
Source: RNAcentral
ACGCUGGCGGCGUGCCUAACACAUGCAAGUCGAGCGGUAUAUACUGGAACGAAACUUCGGUCUAGAGAAGGUAUAGAGAGCGGCGGACGGGUGAGUAACGCGUAGGCAACCUGCCCCAUACAGAGGGAUAGCCUCGGGAAACCGGGAUUAAAACCUCAUAACACGAGAGUUUCACAUGUUACUCUCGUCAAAGAUUUAUCGGUAUGGGAUGGGCCUGCGUCUGAUUAGCUAGUUGGUGAGGUAACGGCUCACAAAGGCAACGAUCAGUAGCCGACCUGAGAGGGUAAUCGGCCACAUUGGAACUGAGACACGGUCCAAACUCCUACGGGAGGCAGCAGUGGGGAAUAUUGCACAAUGGGCGAAAGCCUGAUGCAGCAACGCCGCGUGAGCGAUGAAGGCCUUUGGGUCGUAAAGCUCUGUCCUUGGGGAAGAAAAAAAUGACGGUACCCUUGGAGGAAGCCCCGGCUAACUACGUGCCAGCAGCCGCGGUAAUACGUAGGGGGCAAGCGUUAUCCGGAAUUAUUGGGCGUAAAGAGUGCGUAGGUGGUCAUGUAAGCGCAGGGUGAAAGGNAAUAGCUCAACUAUUGUAAGCCUUGCGAACUGCAUGACUUGAGUGCAGGANAGGAANGUGGAAUUUCCUAGUGUAGCGGUGAAAAUGCGUAGAUAUUAGGAGGACCCCCAGUGGCNAAAGGCNACUUUUNUGNACUGGUAACUGNCACUGAGGCACGAAAGC